GGGUAUAAACGGAGGUCGGAGCCAGCUGCAAAUGGGUGGGUUAGCAGCAAGUGGGUGGAGCUUUACCCGCAAGUGGGCUGUACAAACUUCCAGAGGAUUUUGAUUGGUUUAUUUAUAUCACCUGUAGCAGCUAUUGGUUUAUGCUCCACAGUUGGUGGCGCUAAUGUGUAAGUUUUGUUGCGAUCGAUCAGAAAACAAAGAAGAAACCCGCUUUCACAUGUUAGCGUGUCGUUGAAAUGAAGGUGUAAGCUUGCUUUACAGUUUUUAGUUUUGUAAAAAAGCAUUAUAAUUUCUGAAGAAGACCAUUUUAUAAUGGCGUUUGUACGCUGUUUUUAGUCUUGAUGUAUUAAAAAAGAUAAGGGUAAAGUGUAUCCAGAUACAUUUCUGUAGUUUUUUUAUUAGCACACAAAUUACAAAAUCUGUAACGUGGAUGACAAAAUCUUUUCUGCAUUCCAUUUCUACAAUUUGCUCUCCAGAUUAUGGAUUCUGAAGACCAUAAUAAUAAGGACAAUGCAGGACAAAGGCUGUCAAAUAACUGGAGUGUUUGUCUUGAUGGCAAUAUGCACUGUAUGUUAUUCUGGGACAGAAGUUUGACUUCACUGAACUAAACAUGAAGAACAUAGGAAAAUGGUGGUGUGCCAUCUUGCUUGAAAAUUAAACAUGGGAGAAAGAGAAAAUGAGCUGUUGUAGCUGAAGAAGAAGAAGAAGUAGAAUGCUCUGCACUCCCUGAAACCUAUGGGAAGAAAAAAAACUGAACUUGCAUAUGAAAGUAAGAACUUUGCUAUAAAACAAAAUACAUAUACUUUGCUGGGUUUCAAAUUAUGUAACUAUAAUUCAUUUCAGCAGACCAAACCCCAGUUGUGCCCUCUGUUUUGCAUAAUCAAUUGCAAUGAUGAUUUAAAAUGUGUAUCAUAGAACAAUUUUAAUCCACUUAUAUUUUUCUUUAAGGAUGAACUGUUAAAAGAUGAUGACUGUCCAUCAUGCUUCAUCUUCAAGUUAUCAGGAGCGUUGCUGAAGAACAUACUGCUUGAAGUUGUUCUUCAAGAAGAAGAUGCUGCCUACAUGACCCUGUCAUUGGCUUGCUCAAGGUUCAGGGACAUAGUUGGGGAUGAGCAUUAAGAAUCAGGCACACUUCUUAUGGCUAGAAAGUAAAUAUUGACAUUAAAAAAUAAAAUGCAUAACAACAACAUCAUUGAUAAUGUUAAAUGUUAUGUUUUUUUUCACCUCAGGUUACAUUCCGGAAAAAUAAGUUGUCUCACUA
Molecule: non-coding RNA, 1261 nt
Organism: Misgurnus anguillicaudatus (oriental weatherfish)
Lineage: Eukaryota; Metazoa; Chordata; Actinopteri; Cypriniformes; Cobitidae
Source: RefSeq, a predicted model, not a curated record